GUCUGAAUAGCUUAUAAGAGCAUAAUAUUGAAGAUAUUAAGGAAAUAGAUACUAUUUUUAGAUA
This 64-nucleotide transfer RNA is filed under the name Utra nitida. Its description in RNAcentral is "tRNA-Phe". Lineage: Eukaryota; Metazoa; Arthropoda; Insecta; Coleoptera; Cerambycidae. The record is from RNAcentral.